UGGGGAAUUUUGCACAAUGGGCGAAAGCCUGAUGCAGCGACGCCGCGUGGAGGAUGAAGGCCUUCGGGUUGUAAACUCCUUUUCUCGGGAACGAUGAUGACGGUACCCGAGGAAUAAGCCACGGCUAACUCUGUGCCAGCAGCCGCGGUAAGACAGAGGUGGCGAGCGUUGUUCGGAAUCACUGGGCUUAAAGGGCGCGUAGGCGGUUGUGUAAGUCUGAGGUGGAAGGCUGGGGCUUAACCCUGGAAUUGCCUUGGAAACUGCAUGACUUGAGUCAGUAAGGGGAGGGUAGAAUUCCCGGUGUAGCGGUGAAAUGCGUAGAUAUCGGGAGGAAGGCCUGUGGCGAAGGCGGCCCUCUGGUGCUGGACUGACGCUGAGGCGCGAAAGCGUGGGGAGCAAA
Molecule: ribosomal RNA, 400 nt
Filed under: uncultured bacterium
Lineage: Bacteria
Description: bacterial SSU rRNA
Rfam family: Bacterial small subunit ribosomal RNA
Source: RNAcentral